GAUCAAAGGGGGCAGGGCCCUGCCAACAGCUUGGUGUUGCACUUCUUGAUUACCUGGGCUCUGGCAGCCUCUCUGGGUGAGUUUCUCAAUUAGAAUGAAAAAUCUCUAACAAUUCUUCACCCAGAUCCUCAUUUGUCUUUUUAGAACUGAAGCAAAAAUUGAACUCUCUGAGUUGGCUUAAUGGAGUUCAUCCAGGAGGCCGUGGGGCUGGUGGCUGCAGCUCGUGGGCUGAUGGGCACACGUGCUUUCCUCUCCAGUCAGAGAAGGGCUGAGCGGGCAGGCUGGAGCCCGCCGUG
RNAcentral lists this long non-coding RNA (296 nucleotides) under Homo sapiens (human). RNAcentral describes it as "non-protein coding lnc-KIDINS220-16:3". Lineage: Eukaryota; Metazoa; Chordata; Mammalia; Primates; Hominidae. The record is from RNAcentral.